Molecule: ribosomal RNA, 1176 nt
Filed under: Gilliamella apicola
Lineage: Bacteria; Pseudomonadati; Pseudomonadota; Gammaproteobacteria; Orbales; Orbaceae
Also listed under: 1 other name
Description: bacterial LSU rRNA
Rfam family: Bacterial large subunit ribosomal RNA
Source: RNAcentral
GUUGUAAGGUUAAGAAAUUAAGCGUACACGGUGGAUGCCUAGGCAAUCAGAGGCGAUGAAGGACGUGUUAAUCUGCGAAAAGCGACGGUAAGCCGAUAAAAGGCGCUAUAACCGUUGAUGUCCGAAUGGGGAAACCCAGUGUAGGUGACUACACUAUCAUCUGAUGAAUCCAUAGUCAGAUGAGGCGAACCGGGAGAACUGAAACAUCUAAGUACCCCGAGGAAAAGAAAUCAACCGAGAUUCCCUAAGUAGCGGCGAGCGAAAGGGGAGGAGCCCAAGCGGGUAGCAUAAUGUAUUAGUGGAAGCGUCUGGAAAGUCGCACGAUAGAGGGUGAAAGUCCCGUACACGAAGAUGCAUUAUGUGGAAGCUUAUAGAGUAGGGCGGGACACGUGAUAUCCUGUCUGAAGAUGGGGGGACCAUCCUCCAAGGCUAAAUACUCCUGAUUGACCGAUAGUGAACCAGUACCGUGAGGGAAAGGCGAAAAGAACCCCGGGAGGGGAGUGAAAUAGACCCUGAAACCGUGUACGUACAAUCAGUGGGAGCUGUUACCGUUGGGUAAUAGUGACUGCGUACCUUUUGUAUAAUGGGUCAGCGACUUAUAUUCUGUAGCAAGGUUAACCGAAUAGGGGAGCCGAAGGGAAACCGAGUAUUAACUGUGCGUUAAGUUGCAGGGUAUAGACCCGAAACCCGGUGAUCUAGCCAUGGGCAGGUUGAAGGUUGGUUAACACUAACUGGAGGACCGAACCGACUAAUGUUGAAAAAUUAGCGGAUGACCUGUGGCUGGGGGUGAAAGGCCAAUCAAACCGGGAGAUAGCUGGUUCUCCCCGAAAGCUAUUUAGGUAGCGCCUCAUGAGUAACUGUUGGGGGUAGAGCACUGUUUCGGCUAGGGGGCCAUCCCGGCUUACCAACCCGAUGCAAACUCCGAAUACUGACAAGUUUAAUCAUGGGAGACACACGGCGGGUGCUAACGUUCGUCGUGAAGAGGGAAACAACCCAGACCGCCAGCUAAGGUCCCAAAGUCAUAGUUAAGUGGGAAACGAAGUGGGAAGGCUUAGACAGCUAGGAUGUUGGCUUAGAAGCAGCCAUCAUUUAAAGAAAGCGUAAUAGCUCACUAGUCGAGUCGGCCUGCGCGGAAGAUGUAACGGGGCUAAAACUAUGCACCGAAGCUGCGGCAGC